Long non-coding RNA from Brassica oleracea var. oleracea, 253 nucleotides. RefSeq lists it as uncharacterized. The record is from RefSeq and is a predicted model, not a curated record. Lineage: Eukaryota; Viridiplantae; Streptophyta; Magnoliopsida; Brassicales; Brassicaceae. The transcript is spliced from 3 exons.
AGCCUGCCCUGCCAGUUCUUCGGCAACUUAUCUAUCUAAAUGAUGAAGAAGUUCUCACAGAUGCCUGCUGGGCUCUAUCUUACCUUUCAGAUGGCCCCAAUGAUAAGAUCCAAGCUGUGAUCCAGGCUGGUGUUUGUCCACUACUUGUGGAGCUUCUGAGUCAUCCAUCACCUACGGUUCUCAUUCCUGCGCUUCGAACUGUUGGGAACAUUGUAACUGGUGAUGACUCUCAGACACUGUUUAUAAUUGAUAG